AAGUGUUACAGCUCUUGUAGAAUUUAACUAGCAGGUUUUCCAGUUCUCACCUAAAACUCCCCA
Gorilla gorilla gorilla (western lowland gorilla) is the source of this 63-nucleotide small nuclear RNA. Its record names the gene U7. It matches the Rfam family "U7 small nuclear RNA". Rfam says of the family: Animal histone pre-mRNAs are spliced by a different mechanism than nuclear pre-mRNAs and self-splicing introns. This processing involves the U7 snRNP, which contains only one RNA species: U7. The 5' end of U7 RNA is thought to base-pair to a conserved spacer element downstream of the cleavage site in histone pre-mRNA. The record is from Ensembl. Lineage: Eukaryota; Metazoa; Chordata; Mammalia; Primates; Hominidae.